Molecule: ribosomal RNA, 1081 nt
Filed under: Claviceps fusiformis
Lineage: Eukaryota; Fungi; Ascomycota; Sordariomycetes; Hypocreales; Clavicipitaceae
Description: SSU rRNA
Rfam family: Eukaryotic small subunit ribosomal RNA
Source: RNAcentral
GCUUGUCUCAAAGAUUAAGCCAUGCAUGUCUAAGUAUAAGCAAUUAUACAGCGAAACUGCGAAUGGCUCAUUAUAUAAGUUAUCGUUUAUUUGAUAGUGCCUUACUACUUGGAUAACCGUGGUAAUUCUAGAGCUAAUACAUGCUGAAAAUCCCGACUUCGGAAGGGAUGUAUUUAUUAGAUUAAAAACCAAUGCCCCCUGGGCUCUCUGGUGAUUCAUGAUAACUGCUCGAAUCGCAUGGCCUUGCGCCGGCGAUGGCUCAUUCAAAUUUCUUCCCUAUCAACUUUCGAUGUUUGGGUAGUGGCCAAACAUGGUUGCAACGGGUAACGGAGGGUUAGGGCUCGACCCCGGAGAAGGAGCCUGAGAAACGGCUACUACAUCCAAGGAAGGCAGCAGGCGCGCAAAUUACCCAAUCCCGACUCGGGGAGGUAGUGACAAUAAAUACUGAUACAGGGCUCUUUUGGGUCUUGUAAUUGGAAUGAGUACAAUUUAAAUCCCUUAACGAGGAACAAUUGGAGGGCAAGUCUGGUGCCAGCAGCCGCGGUAAUUCCAGCUCCAAUAGCGUAUAUUAAAGUUGUUGUGGUUAAAAAGCUCGUAGUUGAACCUUGGGCCUGGCUGGCCGGUCCGCCUCACCGCGUGUACUGGUCCGGCCGGGCCUUUCCCUCUGUGGAACCCCAUGCCCUUCACUGGGCGUGGCGGGGAAGCAGGACUUUUACUUUGAAAAAAUUAGAGUGCUCCAGGCAGGCCUAUGCUCGAAUACAUUAGCAUGGAAUAAUGAAAUAGGACGCGCGGUUCUAUUUUGUUGGUUUCUAGGACCGCCGUAAUGAUUAAUAGGGACAGUCGGGGGCAUCAGUAUUCAAUUGUCAGAGGUGAAAUUCUUGGAUUUAUUGAAGACUAACUACUGCGAAAGCAUUUGCCAAGGAUGUUUUCAUUAAUCAGGAACGAAAGUUAGGGGAUCGAAGACGAUCAGAUACCGUCGUAGUCUUAACCAUAAACUAUGCCGACUAGGGAUCGGACGAUGUUAUUUUUUGACUCGUUCGGCACCUUACGAGAAAUCAAAGUGCUUGGGCUUCAGGGGGAG